RNAcentral lists this non-coding RNA (202 nucleotides) under Sporanaerobacter sp. RNAcentral describes it as "T-box sequence". It matches the Rfam family "T-box leader". From Rfam's summary of the family: Uncharged tRNA acts as the effector for transcription antitermination of genes in the T-box leader family. T-boxes are found upstream of many aminoacyl-tRNA synthetase genes and some amino acid biosynthetic genes usually in Gram-positive bacteria. Lineage: Bacteria; Bacillati; Bacillota; Tissierellia; Tissierellales; Sporanaerobacteraceae. The record is from RNAcentral.
ACAUAUUCUGAGAAGAGGAAAUAAAAUAUAUUUUUUGGCAAAGCGAAUUAGGGAUGGUGAAAGCCUAAAUACAAAUAUAUAUUUGAAAAGAGCCUUGGAGAAUCCAUCUGAAUAAAGUAGGAUAGGACGCAAGAUGCGUUAAAUAAAUGAGUGGGCAAUAGGCCAACAAGAGUGGUAACACGGGAAAACUCUCGUCUCUUAA